Molecule: ribosomal RNA, 481 nt
Filed under: uncultured bacterium
Lineage: Bacteria
Description: partial 16S ribosomal RNA
Rfam family: Bacterial small subunit ribosomal RNA
Source: RNAcentral
ACUCAAAUGAAUUGACGGGGAGGCGCACAAGCAGUGGAGCGUGUGGUUUAAUUCGAUUCAAAGCGAAGAACCUCACCAGGACUUGACAUGUAGCUGCAAGCUCUGGAAACAGAGUCGCCUUCGAGGGUGCUACACAGAUGCUGCAUGGCUGUCGUCAGCUCGUGGCGUGAGCUGUUCCCUUAAGUGGGUCAACGAGCGCAACCCGCAUUGUAUGUUAAAUAAUUCAUACAAAACUGCCCCUUUUUGGGGAGGAAGGCGCGGAUGACGUCAAGUCAGCACGGCUCUUACGUCCUGGGCAACACACACCCUACAAUGGCGAAAAACAACGAGUUGCCACUGGGUAACCAGAAGCUAAUCUCUGAAAUUUCGCCUCAGUUCAGAUUGAGGUCUGCAACCCGACCUCAUGAAGGAGGAAUUGCUAGUAAUCGCGAAUCAGCAGGUCGCGGUGAAUACGUUCUCGCCUCUUGUACACACCGCCCGU